RNAcentral lists this long non-coding RNA (5565 nucleotides) under Marmota monax (woodchuck). The record is from RNAcentral. Lineage: Eukaryota; Metazoa; Chordata; Mammalia; Rodentia; Sciuridae.
UGAGGCUUCCCCAUGAGGGAGAUGUCUGCACAGCAGCUCUGAGAUGGGCCUCCGGCAUCCUGCCUGUCCCACGCUGAGCUCAGCAAGCCAGGGAGCACAGAGAAGCUUCUGUUGGCCCGCCUCUGCUGCUCAGCUGGCAUUUUGUAUGUCUCGGGCAUUCUUGGUGUGUCUUAGGUCUCUUGCUCUGCGUUUUCCUUUACCAAGGAAGGCUAGGCCAGGGGGUGAGAAGUGCCCUCGUUUUCACAGAACGUUGAAGGAUAUUGCCAGCUACCUAUUUGUUGUUGUUUAAUCACUGUGUCAUAUGCACCAGGAGUCGCCUAGGCUGUUUAUUCCCUUUGGAAAAAAAAUGUGGCAGAAUGUUAUCAGAUUAAGGAAGUAACCAUAGACAACCUGCCACAUCUGUUGGGACGGAAGACUGAAGUCAGGCGUCCUGGGCUCUUAGCUGAGCCAAAUCAAAAGCAGAAAAGGUGCCCAUUUUUCCUGGACAUACAUACUCAAGUCGGCAGUGUCAAGGCUGGUCAAGACAGCCCCAGAAAGGGAAGGGACAAGAAAGCCAGCCUCUGCCUCCUGCAACUGGUCGCCAGCCAGGUCUGUGGGCCCUCAUGCUUCGGGUGUUGGGUUAGUCGUGCAGAACCUGAGCCAUCAUGUGGUCAGAGAUAAAUAGAAUGAUGCCUCCUCGAGGCAGGCUAGGCUGCCAAAAAUAUUUUGCCCCUUAAAUGUCCUUGCUGUCCCAAUCCCUAAACAAGAAAUGAGCGGUCAUCACCGACUCAAGCCAGUUAGGCUUCUCUCCCUGUGGGUGGAAACCCACUGGCUUCUGCGGAGCCCCGGGCAGCACAGAGAAAGCUUAAAAGAUAACAGAGUGUAGCAUCCGGGCCCAGGCCACCUCUUCCUCAGGUGGGGUGGGAGCUCAUCAGGGAGGGCGGAGUCAGCUGCGUGGGGAGCUGAGUUCUUGUCAGCAUCUACACUGCUCCUGGAGGCCACUGUCCUGGGCGUGCUCCCCGUACCAUCCCACCCCUGUGCCCGCCCCUCAGCCUGGAGCCUCAUGUUUGGGACCACAGGGUGGCUUUCUCAUUCCGCUCCUUGCCCAUGAGGCAGAGCAGAGGCUCCCACGCGUCCUCAGUCACAGCACUGGGCUGAGGAAAUGCUGACAGCUGGGACCGCGAUGGCUCUGGACCUCAGCGCCAACAGCAGUGUCACCACAGCACUUGUGCUCCUCCCAGACCUGCCAGGCGCAGAGACUGGGGCCAGCAGGCCCUCCAGGCCAUCCUCAGGCACGCUAGACGUCAGGGUCAUUUUAGGAGUGUUUUCUGAAAGCUGGUGGUGGUGACUGGUAAGGAGGGUUAAUUAGGAGACGCACUCAGCGUCCCCCCUGAAGCCGAGACUGCCUGCUGGUUUUCUGGUUUGCUUUGGUUCUCCCAUGUCCCUUACCAGGACUGCAGUUGGACUUUCCUUAGUCGUGCCUGUUCAUCACUCAACCUUGCAAGCUCUCAAAAGCCAUGAGCAGUCUUUGAGAUAAUUUGCCCGCGCAGCUCCGGGCCUCGCUGGAACUCCGCAGAAGGCCUUCAUUGGGUUGGAGCUGCCCAGGGCCUGGCCGACACCAGGCCUGACGCACUCUGAGGCUGGUGCUUGAGAUGUGGUCUGAAAGACGUGUGGAUGAGCCCUGGCAGGGGACCAGGCUGCCCUGAGGAUGCCCCACAGGCAAGGAAGGCAGGCUGGAGAGCUGGCCCCGCCAGGCUUUCAUUGGCACUGUUAUGUGCACUGUGACCAUCAGCUCAUCCAAGCAGGAGCCAGGAGGUCAGCUUUUAUGAUCUUGUCACCGGGGCCAGGCAGGGCUCCAAGGCCACAUGGCAGUAAUCACCGCCUUGCCAGUCCUGCAGACUCCAGGCUCCAGCCAUCCCUUGGCCAUCCUCCCUGAAACACUGCACUCCCGAGCCUUUAAAAGAAAGACGUAGACGAGCGAGGUGCCCACGGCGUAGCACACAUUUUCUUAGGUGUAAACUCAUUUCCUUCUCAUGACCCCAUUAAGGAACCAGGCACAGCAGCCCACUCGCACAGCUCUUGUCCAGGAGUCAGGGUGGGUGGAGGCCAGUCAGGAUGCAGCUGAUGCAGCCCACAGUCUUGGGAACCUCUGAUUCCCAAGUGGCAGUGUCUGGGGCCAGAGCCAGAGGAGGCCAUGGUCUGUGUGCCACUGGAUGUUUUAUAAAGGAGAGCAGUGGAUGAGGGUGAUAGAUUGUGGUCAGGGAAGCCCACUGUUGCUCUGGGAGGUGGCUUUCCUGUGUCAAGGUGGUUGUCUAGGAGAGCAGGAGGAGUCUGUGGGCCUCUCCUGGCCCAAGGACUGAGCAUCGUGGCACCCUCGGCUCUCCUGCCAACUCACAGCGUGUUGGUCCAAUCCUGGGCUACUGCUUGGGCUCGGGGACUGCAUUAGCCAUGAUGAUAAUUGUGAAGGCUCAAAGAAGCACCCAAAUCUCAACAUCUGGCACCCAACAUCAGAGUCCCCACUUGUCAUGCAGGGCAGCUCUCCAGGUCGGUUUCCUCACACAGCUCAGGAGCCUUCUGCUUGCUACAAUCUUAACCCAAGACCAUUUCCCCAAGAGCACAGCUAGGGAAGGGGACACUUGACUGGCAAGUGAUACACGUCACUUGCCCUCAGCCCAUUGUCCAGAACUGAGCAUGUGGCCUCACCUGACUGAAGCAGAACAGUGAAGAACAGUCCACUCGUGCCUGUGGACUGAGGAGGAGAACCAGGCAUGGAGGGUGCUGGAAGUCCCCCUUGUCCUUCAGCCCCCAGUACAGCAAAUGUUCCCCACGAACACGCUCCUCUACUGCGUGGAGGAGAAUCCAGAGACCCCAUCUAGCCGCCACCUCCGACUCGGCUCAGCGAGGCCACCCUAGGGCUGAGUGGCUUCCCCUCCGCGGCCCUGAUGCGGGAGGUGUCUUGUCUGCUCCCUGCGCCACAGAGGAGUGUCAGAGAAGGAAAGAAUGGUACACUGUGAUGUCACAACACCUGUGAUGUUCCAGAGGCUCCCCGGACAGCCAGCCGAAGGCCACUUAGCCAAGGCUCUGCAGGUGGCCCUUGUUCUAGAGGGUUCCACUUUUGGGGAGGAAUUGACCUGUUGCAUUGUUUUCUGUGGCCUCUAGCUUCAGGCUCUGCCAGGUUCCACCCUCUCCCUGUCUCCAUCUUCCCCUUGGGCCAGGUCCAAGUGAGACACAGGACACCUGUUGUCCCCACAGGCAUGCAGCUCCCAGUCCUCGGCGGAGGAGGCCCUCGCACAGACUCUGGGAAGGCUUGUGGGUUGCUAUUCGUUUUGUUCUGAUCAGACUGAGUUUCCGGAACAUAUCAGGGCUUUUGUCUGACGAUCCAAUCGCAGCAUGAGCCAGAAACCACCCAGGGACCCUGUUCGGGACUCAGUUUUCAGAUCCGUUGCGCAUCUCUAUGGCCUCAGUCUCAUUCUUCUCAAGUCACAUGCUCGCUUUUCCCGCAUCCGCCGUGUUAGCUGGACAGUUUGUCGAGCCCGUGUCCUUUGGUGCAUGAAGUGAUAAGCAGGUGAGAUUCGAUUCCCACUGCGGCAGGAGUGGCUCUCCUCUGCUGUCCCUGGAGGACGUUCCCAGGGUGAGAGGACAGCAGUUCUGCCGCAGAGCUGUGAGGGCGGAGGUCCCCGGGUUAUCACAGCAGUUUCUAUGGUUUCUAUUGCUCUUCGGGGCCCAAAGUCUGAAGAACCUGGACGCUGCACCUUCAGUGUCUGCUCGGGAACUGGGGAGCUCCCUUCUGCACACUUGUCUUUCUCACAGACGUCACUGAAGGCGACCAGCAGCAACAAGGACAAGCUCUUGACCUUGCCGUCUGUUUCUGCCACACAGCUCCUUUUGCUUAUGUUGGUUCAUUUGUGUCCUUGCAGCAUCUACUGGCAGCCACCUGGUGACACUGGACUGCUUUGCCCAUUAGUGGUCCUCAGCUUAGUGGUUACCUUUAGCUGAUCCAUCGGGUUCCCACUGACUGCUUUAUUUAAAUUACACUCUUUUUGAAUGAUUUUAGGUUUCACAUGCAGUUUCUAAAAAAUAGUGCUGAGAGAGCCCAUCUGAACGCUGGCAAUUACAUGACGUUUUCCGUGGUAACAGUCUGUGAAAGGAGCGUGGAGUCUCACACCCGCGAUGGUAUCAUUUGAGAAUUUCCCGCCGUCUCUGUGAGCUUGCUGGGGCUAUAGUUGAGCUUACUUUGGUUUUAAGGUGGUUUGGAUUUCUUUUGUGUUCAAUGGUGUGUCCACUCCACAUAUGCCUGCAGGGCACUUGCGAGGUGCCAGUGGUGCUCUGCCCUGGGCCUGCGGCAGAGGCCAAGGUAGACUGGCCCUCCCUUUGCCAUGGGCACCUCUCACUGACUUCCCUGAGGGAGAGGGCAUUGGCGCUUCAGAUGUCAGGAUGCCACAGAAUAGACCAGCAGGUGGGCAGGGAGAAGCUGGUCGAGCUUGCCAGCGAAGGCAGGAGCACAAGGGAGGGCAGGAGCUGUCUGGACAGAACGCAGGGGUCUAACGCCGGGGGCAGAGGGGCUGGGGACUAGAGGGAAGGAGGGGACCAUUUUGGGCCUCUCGUUACCACUCGAGUAUUCAGCUCAUGAUUCCAUUAACUGAUUUAUUGACAUAGCUAGUGCUUAUAAUUGGGAGCAUAUCCAGAGGGAAUAAACGGGUCUCACAGGAUAAGUUUUCCCUGAAGUCCCUCCAUCCCUCAGGCACCUACCUCAGAAGCAAUCACCAUUCCUAUUCUGGUGCCUUUCUGUCCAGGGACAGCCUGAGUAGAUAGCAGGUGAGAUUUGAGUCCCCCCUGCAGGGAUGGCUCUCCUCUGCUGUACCCCGAGGACGUUCCCAGGGUGAGAAGACAGCGGUUCUACUGCCCAGCUUUGAGGGGCGGAGGCCCCUGGAGGCUGAGAGUGGGAGCAACCUGUGGAGUUAGGAGUCUGGGAUGCAGACAGAGAAGGGGGCUACCUGUUUGGAGAGGUACCCGUGUGCUUUCCCAUAUUCUGGGGUCGCACUGAGGACAGAGCCGUUGUCCUCACUGACAAAUACGCACUUGCCUGAGGUCAUUAGUGAUAAGUGUCCAGGCUGAGAGUCCCAGCCAGGGAUCACUCCAAAGCCUAGCUUUCCCUCCAGUUUAAAAAAAGGUAAAACACGUGUAACAGGAUUUACCAUCCUAACCAACCCUGAGCCCCCGGUUGGGGGCAUUCAGUGCGGUCAUGCGCUGCGCCUGGCGCCACCAUCCACCUGCAGAACUUUCCUCUCCCACACUGACUUGCCUUCCUUCCCUCCCCAGCUCCAGCCCCCGCCCCCACUGCUCUGCCAUCAUGAGUUUGGCCCUUCUGGGUGCUGCAGGUAAGUGUUUGUCCUUUAGCUACUGGUUUAUGUCACUCCAAGUGUCCUCAAGGGUGGAUGUCAUUACCCUGGGUACGUGUUUGAUUGCAGGAAUGGUGGGACCUUACUCUGUGUACAAUUAGAGAAAUGGAAAAUUGUGCUCCAUUUGUAUACAAUGAACCGAAGGGCACUCUGCUGUCAUAUGUGUCUAUGUAUAACUUAAUAGAAC